RNAcentral lists this long non-coding RNA (1067 nucleotides) under Marmota monax (woodchuck). The record is from RNAcentral. Lineage: Eukaryota; Metazoa; Chordata; Mammalia; Rodentia; Sciuridae.
GUGGAAAGAUUGUCUUGUGUCUCAUCCCCUCUUAAACCACUCCCCCACCGUUCCCUUUUCAAGAUAAUUAAGGACCCAAGAGGUCCAGGCUCAUAAAAAGAGGGUUAUGGAAGCAGUGAACCCAUAAUCUCCAAUCUCCAGCCUCAAAGGUCAUCCCUGAAGAGGCCCCAAGAGGGGUUCAGGCCUGCCUUGGUUUUGUCAUCCUACAAGGACUCCUGGGCAGCAGAAGUGAUAACCUCCCUUUCCUUCUCAAUGGCUUCUCCCAUGGAACCACUGUUUCCCCAAGAAGGAAGAAAGAGGGAGUUUUGACCACAUGAGCUUUUUUCAUCCCAGUCAGUCAAAAUAGACAGAGGCCUUGCCUUUGGCUGAACUGAGACACCUCCUGUUUCUCCUCCCCUUGAGCCAGCCCCAGUGUCCCCUUGCUCCAGGCCACCUUCUGUCUCUUAAAUUUCCCUACCUAUAAAGUAGAUUCAAGAUAUACGUAGAGGGCUGUGACAACAGACUUGGAAGGUUUGCUACUGUAUAUACUGCCAUUGAGAAGGGGAUAAUUUUCAAUAUGUAGAAGCUUCAGAAUUAGGGGUCCCUGUUUACCCAGGACCUGGGAGGGAAAUAGAUGUUUUGCCAAAAUACUUCUUCAUUCCUUUAAAAAGUACAUCUUUCCUAUGCAAGAGUGUCUCAUAUGUGCUUAUCCAAGGUGCUUUUAGAUGGUGAGCAGUGUUCAGCUUAGAAGUGGUGUGUGCUCUGUCUGUCUGUCUUUGUCCGUCUGUUGUAUCCAGUGGGUGCCAUAUAAAGCUGAUCAAUGGUGGUGCUUCCUGCCUGCUUCUGUGAGAUGGGCAAAAGAUUCCGCUUAGAAAACCGUGAUUCACCUUGCCUUGGUCAGUCUUUCCUGUGUCCACAAGGCCCUGCUCAUAUUUUUUCCAGGGGGAUAAUUUUCUCUCCACCCCAUAGAAAUGAAUUAGCCUAGUCUGAGGCCCCAGCUGUGUGUGGGAGCUCUCUAGUUCCCAGAUGUUGCUGAUGUUGGAGGUCUCUGAUCUGAUAACAGUCAGACAGUAAAGAAUGUGGGGUGG